UCAUUACCUCAAACUCUGAGACGACUACAGCUGCUCACAGACCUGCAGUUACUCCACAGAAGGUGAUGGUGAUUAUUGUAGAGUUUGCAGUGUUUGCUGCUCCUACUGUGAUUCUUCUUCAGAUCAUCUGUGCAAGAAGAGCUGAGAGGAAGGACUCGCAGCACCCAGAGGAAAUAGAAAUGAAUACAAUAUUAGAGUAAAAUACUCCACAAAUAACAGAAUACUGCAAGAUUUAUCUUCAUGUCAAUGCUAUUACGGAUGUUUGUAUGCAACUUUCAGGAAUAUUUUCCAUACUGUACUGAAUCCUUUAAAUAUAAUAUUAAAUACAGUGAUCAACAGAGCAAAAAGGUACCUCUAAUGAACAUAAGUGAUUGUUACAGAAAUCAUA
This is a long non-coding RNA of Cyprinus carpio (common carp), 388 nucleotides long. RefSeq lists it as uncharacterized. The transcript has 3 exons. NCBI's taxonomy places the organism in Eukaryota, Metazoa, Chordata, Actinopteri, Cypriniformes, Cyprinidae. The record is from RefSeq and is a predicted model, not a curated record.